CGCAGAAUGUCUACAGUUUUAGUGCUUAUACAGAGUACACCAUCUUGCUGUGCUAGUCCUGAUCGGCGCGUAUGGAAGAUUGCUUUAUCCGAACAAUAAACAAAACUACGUACUGUGGCAUCUAUUCUUCUAUGGCAUGUGUCAAGCUGCAGCAAAGAGCGAAAGUUUCAGAUGCGGUUUGAAGAAAUUUGAAGUGUCUGAGCAGUCGGUGCCGGUGGCAUGGGUAACCAGAAAGUAGCCAAUAUAGCCAGUGCCUUUUCCGUUGACAAGCGGAUGAUUAGUAUUGUUGUAACGAUCAUGGAAGUUGCCGAGGAAUUUUUUGAACUUGGCAUUCUGUGUGCAUUGGUGUACACCGCGAUUAUCGCUUUGGUGUGUGGCGUUGCUUUUGCCCAAAUAACCGAAGAAUUAAAGGCCACCAGCAAUGAACAAAAACCGGGGCGAAAACUAGUGCGACUGAAUGAGUGUCUCCGUUAUCACCGGACAACGAGCAUCAUUGUUGAAGAAACGGAUGGGUUGAUGGGAAUUUGCGUUCUUAUCUAUUACGUUCAUGACAUCGUGUCACUCGUAUACAACACCGCAAAUUUCUUUGAAGGCGCUGGUUUUGCAAACGCGGGUAGUGUGGUUUUCUUGAAGUCUGCGCAGGUUGCGUUGAGGACAACAUGCUUCGUUUAUCUGAGCGACAAGGUGGAGGAAUUUACAGCGGCUUUUCGUCGGAUUCUUUUAGACAAAGCUUUGCUGGAAAGUCAUCAGUAUCAAGGUCAUCAUCAGCUGGCUCUAAAUAGUAUGCAGAGCAAUCCUCC
This is a long non-coding RNA of Paramacrobiotus metropolitanus, 800 nucleotides long. RefSeq lists it as uncharacterized. The record is from RefSeq and is a predicted model, not a curated record. NCBI's taxonomy places the organism in Eukaryota, Metazoa, Tardigrada, Eutardigrada, Parachela, Macrobiotidae. The transcript is spliced from 4 exons.